UAAAACUAGCUCUUUUAGUAUUUGUCAAGUAGGGAUCUUCAAUUGAAGAAGCUCCCAU
This 58-nucleotide small nuclear RNA is filed under the name Oncorhynchus kisutch (coho salmon). RNAcentral describes it as "U7 small nuclear RNA (ENSOKIG00005035165.1)". It matches the Rfam family "U7 small nuclear RNA". Rfam says of the family: Animal histone pre-mRNAs are spliced by a different mechanism than nuclear pre-mRNAs and self-splicing introns. The record is from Rfam by way of RNAcentral. Lineage: Eukaryota; Metazoa; Chordata; Actinopteri; Salmoniformes; Salmonidae.